This 429-nucleotide ribosomal RNA is filed under the name Chloroflexota bacterium. RNAcentral's name for it is "Chloroflexi bacterium partial 16S ribosomal RNA". It matches the Rfam family "Bacterial small subunit ribosomal RNA", at positions 355 to 776 of the family's 1533-position model. Lineage: Bacteria; Bacillati; Chloroflexota. The record is from RNAcentral.
UAGGGAAUCUUCGGCAAUGGACGAAAGUCUGACCGAGCAACGCCGCGUGAGUGAAGAAGGUUUUCGGAACGUUAAACUCUGUUGUUAGAGAAGAACAAGGACGUUAGUAACUGAACGUCCCCUGACGGUAUCUAACCAGAAAGCCACGGCUAACUACGUGCCAGCAGCCGCGGUAAUACGUAGGUGGCAAGCGUUGUCCGGAUUUAUUGGGCGUAAAGCGAGCGCAGGCGGUUUCUUAAGUCUGAUGUGAAAGCCCCCGGCUCAACCGAGGAGGGUCAUUGGAAACUGGGAGACUGGAGUGCAGAAGAGGAGAGUGGAAUUCCAUGUGUAGCGGUGAAAUGCGUAGAUAUAUGGAGGAACAACAGUGGCGAAGGCGGCUCUCUGGUCUGUAACUGACGCGGAGGCUCGAAAGCGUGGGGAGCAAACAGG